GACGAACGCUGGCGGCGUGCUUAACACAUGCAAGUCGAACGGAAAGGCCCUGCUUUUGUGGGGUGCUCGAGUGGCGAACGGGUGAGUAACACGUGAGUAACCUGCCCUUGACUUUGGGAUAACUUCAGGAAACUGGGGCUAAUACCGGAUAGGAGCUCCUGCUGCAGGGUGGGGGUUGGAACGUUUCGGCGGUUGGGGAUGGACUCGCGGCUUAUCAGCUUGUUGGUGGGGUAGUGGCUUACCAAGGCUUUGACGGGUAGCCGGCCUGAGAGGGUGGCCGGGCACCAGGGGCCUGCGAGAGGGCGCAGUGUCCAACGGGGGGCAGUGGGGGGAAGCAUGACACAACGGGGGGGAGUGUGAGGUGGCAGCGCCGGGGUCGGGAUGAGGGCCUGUGGGGAGUGAACCGCUUUCGCCUGAGACGGAGCGUGAGUGACGGUAACGGGUGAAGAAGCACCGGCUAACUACGUG
Molecule: ribosomal RNA, 468 nt
Filed under: uncultured bacterium
Lineage: Bacteria
Description: partial 16S ribosomal RNA
Rfam family: Bacterial small subunit ribosomal RNA
Source: RNAcentral